AUACGAAAGGUGCAAGCGUUGUUCGGAUUUACUGGGCGUAAAGAGAGUGUAGGUUGUUUAUUAAGUCGGAUGUGAAAUCCCGGGGCUCAACCUCGGAACUGCAUUCGAUACUGGUAGACUAGAGUUCGGGAGGGGUAAGCGGAAUUCCGUGUGUAGCAGUGAAAUGCGUAGAUAUACGGAGGAACACCUGAGGCGAAGGUGGCUUACUGGACCGAUACUGACACUGAGACUCGAAAGCGUGGGUAGCAAACAGGAUUAGAAACCCUAGUAGUCC
This 274-nucleotide ribosomal RNA is filed under the name uncultured bacterium. Its description in RNAcentral is "partial 16S ribosomal RNA". It matches the Rfam family "Bacterial small subunit ribosomal RNA", at positions 523 to 796 of the family's 1533-position model. The record is from RNAcentral.